UGCCAGCCGCCGCGGUAAUACGAAGGGUGCUAGCGUUGUUCGGGAUUACUGGGUUUAAAGGGUACGUAGGCGGCUAUUUAAGUCAGUGGUGAAAUGUGUCGGCUCAACCGGCAACGUGCCAUUGAAACUGAAUAGCUGGAGUGUUGUAUAGGUGGGCGGAAUUGAUGGUGUAGCGGUGAAAUGCAUAGAUACCAUCAAGAACACCAAUUGCGAAGGCAGCUCACUGGGCAACAACUGACGCUGAGGUACGAAAGCGUGGGGAGCGAACAGGAUUAGAUA
RNAcentral lists this ribosomal RNA (279 nucleotides) under uncultured bacterium. RNAcentral describes it as "partial 16S ribosomal RNA". It matches the Rfam family "Bacterial small subunit ribosomal RNA", at positions 506 to 784 of the family's 1533-position model. The record is from RNAcentral.